GAUGAACGCUGGCGGCGUGCCUAACACAUGCAAGUCGAACGGAGUCGUUUUGGAAAUCUCUUCGGAGAUGGAAUUCUCGACUUAGUGGCGGACGGGUGAGUAACGCGUGAGCAAUCUGCCUUUAAGAGGGGGAUAACAGUCGGAAACGGCUGCUAAUACCGCAUAAAGCAUUAAAUUCGCAUGUUUUUGAUGCCAAAGGAGCAAUCCGCUUUUAGAUGAGCUCGCGUCUGAUUAGCUAGUUGGCGGGGUAACGGCCCACCAAGGCGACGAUCAGUAGCCGGACUGAGAGGUUGAACGGCCACAUUGGGACUGAGACACGGCCCAGACUCCUACGGGAGGCAGCAGUGGGGAAUAUUGCGCAAUGGGGGAAACCCUGACGCAGCAACGCCGCGUGAUUGAAGAAGGCCUUCGGGUUGUAAAGAUCUUUAAUCAGGGACGAAACAAGUGACGGUACCUGAAGAAUAAGCUCCGGCUAACUACGUG
Molecule: ribosomal RNA, 483 nt
Filed under: uncultured bacterium
Lineage: Bacteria
Description: partial 16S ribosomal RNA
Rfam family: Bacterial small subunit ribosomal RNA
Source: RNAcentral